AGUGAACGCUGGCGGUAGGCCUAACACAUGCAAGUCGAACGGCAGCACAGUAAGAGCUUGCUCUUACGGGUGGCGAGUGGCGGACGGGUGAGGAAUACAUCGGAAUCUACUUUUUCGUGGGGGAUAACGUAGGGAAACUUACGCUAAUACCGCAUACGACCUACGGGUGAAAGCAGGGGAUCUUCGGACCUUGCGCGAUUGAAUGAGCCGAUGUCGGAUUAGCUAGUUGGCGGGGUAAAGGCCCACCAAGGCGACGAUCCGUAGCUGGUCUGAGAGGAUGAUCAGCCACACUGGAACUGAGACACGGUCCAGACUCAUACGGGAGGCAGCAGUGGGGAAUAUUGGACAAUGGGCGCAAGUCUGAUCCAGCCAUACCGCGUGAGUGAAGAAGGCCGUCGGGUUGUAAAGCUCUUUUGUUGGGAAAGAAAAGCAGCAGGUUAAUACCCCGCUGUUCUGACGGUACCCAAAGAAUAAGCACCGGCUAACUUCGUG
RNAcentral lists this ribosomal RNA (492 nucleotides) under uncultured bacterium. Its description in RNAcentral is "partial 16S ribosomal RNA". It matches the Rfam family "Bacterial small subunit ribosomal RNA", at positions 29 to 507 of the family's 1533-position model. The record is from RNAcentral.